Molecule: small RNA, 148 nt
Filed under: Pongo abelii (Sumatran orangutan)
Lineage: Eukaryota; Metazoa; Chordata; Mammalia; Primates; Hominidae
Description: Metazoan signal recognition particle RNA (ENSPPYG00000031712.1)
Source: Rfam by way of RNAcentral
GCCGGGCGUGGUGGUGCAUGCCUGUAAUCCCAGCUACUUGGGAGGCUGAGGCAGGAGAAUUGCUUGAGCCUGGGAGGCGGAGGUUGCAGUGAGCCAAGAUCACGCCACUGCACUCCAUCCUGGGGGACAAAGCAAGACUCUGUCUCGA